Molecule: ribosomal RNA, 1101 nt
Filed under: uncultured bacterium
Lineage: Bacteria
Description: bacterial SSU rRNA
Rfam family: Bacterial small subunit ribosomal RNA
Source: RNAcentral
AGUGAACGCUGGCGGCGUGGAUUAGGCAUGCAAGUCGAGCGAUACUUAAAGCGGAGAGAUUGAAGCCGCAAGGUGGAUGUCAAUUUGCUUUUUGUAUAGCGGCAGACGGGUGAGGAACACGUGAGUAAUCUGCCCACAAGUCAGACAUAGCUUCGUGAAAACGGAGGUAAUUUCUGAUAAAAUCAAGAGGACGCAUGUUUUUUUGAUUAAAGACGGGGAUUCGCUUCGGCGGACCUGUCGCUUAUGGAUGAGCUCGCGUCUUAUCAGCUAGUUGGUAGGGUAACGGCCUACCAAGGCUAUUGACGAGUAGCUGGUCUGAGAGGAUGGUUAGCCACACUGGGACUGAGACACUGCCCAGACUCCUACGGGAGGCUGCAGUCGAGAAUCUUUAGCAAUGGACGAAAGUCUGACUAUGCGACGCCGCGUGAGGGAUGAAGGUUUUCGGAUCGUAAACCUCUUUUAGCAGGAAAGAAACCUUUGCUGUGAAUAGCAGCAGAGCUGACGGUACCUGUAGAAUAAGCCACGGCCAACUCCGUGCCAGCAGCCGCGGUAAUACGGAGGUGGCUAGCGUUACUCGGAAUCAUUGGGUGUAAAGGGCAAGUAGGCGGCCUGGUAAGUGAGGGGUGAAAUCUUCCGGCUCAAUCGGAAAACUGCCUUUCAUACUGCCAGGCUUGAGGGUGGAAGAGGAAAGCGGAAUUCUCGGUGUAAGGGUGAAAUCUGUAGAGAUCGAGAAGAACACCAGCGGCGAAGGCGGCUUUCUGGUCCACUCCUGACGCUGAAUUGCGAAAGCUAGGGGAGCAAACAGAAUUAGAUACUCUGGUAGUCCUAGCCGUAAACGAUGAGCACUAGGUGUCGGUCCCGUUAGGGGUCGGCGCCGUCGCUAACGCAUUAAGUGCUCCACCUGGGGACUACGGCCGCAAGGCUAAAACUCAAAGGAAUUGACGGGGGCCCGCACAAGCGGUGGAACAUGUGGUUCAAUUCGAUGCUACGCGAAAAACCUCACCAGGGUUUGACAUACAGGAAGUAGUGAACUGAAAGGGGACCGACCCUUCGGGGAGCCUGCACAGGUGCUGCAUGGCUGUCGUCAGCUCGUGUCGUGAG